This 377-nucleotide ribosomal RNA is filed under the name Clostridioides difficile. RNAcentral describes it as "bacterial SSU rRNA". It matches the Rfam family "Bacterial small subunit ribosomal RNA", at positions 1042 to 1420 of the family's 1533-position model. The record is from RNAcentral. Lineage: Bacteria; Bacillati; Bacillota; Clostridia; Peptostreptococcales; Peptostreptococcaceae.
UGCAUGGUUGUCGUCAGCUCGUGUCGUGAGAUGUUGGGUUAAGUCCCGCAACGAGCGCAACCCUUGUCUUUAGUUGCCAUCAUUAAGUUGGGCACUCUAGAGAGACUGCCAGGGAUAACCUGGAGGAAGGUGGGGAUGACGUCAAAUCAUCAUGCCCCUUAUGCUUAGGGCUACACACGUGCUACAAUGGGUAGUACAGAGGGUUGCCAAGCCGUAAGGUGGAGCUAAUCCCUUAAAGCUACUCUCAGUUCGGAUUGUAGGCUGAAACUCGCCUACAUGAAGCUGGAGUUACUAGUAAUCGCAGAUCAGAAUGCUGCGGUGAAUGCGUUCCCGGGUCUUGUACACACCGCCCGUCACACCACGGGAGUUGGAGACGC